CUGCUCUCUCUCUAAACAACCCCUCUCUCUCUCUUCUCCCCCUCUCUCUCUGAACUACGUACACCAAACCACCACCACCCCCACAUCAUCCCCAACCUCCGCCACCGUCGCCGCCAACACCACCGAUUUCCGGCCACCGCAACCACCAUCACUCUCCACUCCUCCAUCUCUUACACACACAUAGAGACACCCACAUCCUUCCUCUUCGAUUCAGCCGGCAACGACACCAUCAAACAACCUCAUUCGCCUCGUUUUUUCGGCGACUGGUUAUCCGGUGAACCACCACACGGCAGCAGCACCACCACCACUUGGUGGUGGCGGGCGGUACGACAUCAGCAGAGCCGCCAUGAGCGGCGGAGAGAGAGAGAGAUGCAUGAGAGAGAGGGAGAUCAAAGAGACGGAGCCGCGUUUCAGCGGCAGCGGCGGCGGAGCCGCGUAUCAGCAGCGGCGGCGGCAAGAGAGAGAUGCAUGAGAGAGAGGGAGAUCAAAGAGACGGAGCCGCGUUUCAGCGGCAGCGGCGGCGGAGCCGCGUAUCAGCAGCGGCGGCGGCAACCCUGUUCCGUUCGGGUUGUUUCUAUUUGGUUAAAAGCACUGUUAUUUUUUUAUGAUAAUAACUUUAGUGGCUGAAACUAAUUAUUUGACCCCUAAACCAUAACAUUAUUUUUUUUAUGUGUAGGUUCCCUAAGCACUGUUGGAGGAAGCAAAAGCAGCUGCUCAAGCAGCAUUGGAAGAAAUGGAUGCUGAUUAAUAAUAAUAUUAAAAUCCUUUCACAUUGUGUUUCAGCUUAAGAUAAUUAUCUAAGAUUUUAACAUUUCUGUUUUAUCAUAACACAAUUCAGAUUUUCAUUAUGCUGACUGCCUUGUUGACUUUUGCUUAUACCCAAAAUUCAGGUUUGUUUUCAUUGAUGAACUAAGACCAAAAUUGGUUUUAACAGAGCAGUACUCAGCGUAAAAUGAAGCCUAGAAAAAGUUGACAGAAGGUGAUGCUAAUAAGAGGUUCUCUACCUCUCUUUCCUGCCUCAAUGCUCUUACAUUAUCUAGAAUGUGUUUAGAUGAUGGUAAGAAGUUAUCAUGUGCUUUUGAUUUGAUUAGGAGCUCCCCGAAUCUGCAGACUCUUGUAAUCUUAGCAUGUGACCAGUAUGCUGGUCCGCCUCCACCUGUAGAGGACUACAAUAAAACUGGGCUGUUGCAGCUUCGAAGUGUUCAUUUUGAAUAUUAUACAGCUUCUGAGAAUGAAUUAUGUUUGAUAAAGUAUUUACUGGCGUGUUCCCCUUUCCUACAAAAGAUUGUUAUUGCUGGCUAUAACUUGGCCAUUGCAUCAGAUGAAAAGUUGACGUUUGCUAGGAAGUUGUUGAUGCUCCAUCGAGCCUCCCCAGUAGCUGAAAUAGAGCUCCUCUAGUUUUAGCUGUUUUGAACUUUCCGUGUGGAUUUAUGGCUCCAUUUUGUAAUAUGCUCUAGAUAGCGGCAAGGAGAAAUGAAAGACGUUUUUGUUAUUCAUCUAUGAAUUAUGGUGACGUUUGGUUC
Molecule: long non-coding RNA, 1523 nt
Organism: Helianthus annuus (common sunflower)
Lineage: Eukaryota; Viridiplantae; Streptophyta; Magnoliopsida; Asterales; Asteraceae
Exons: 3
Source: RefSeq, a predicted model, not a curated record